Molecule: ribosomal RNA, 236 nt
Filed under: uncultured bacterium
Lineage: Bacteria
Description: partial 16S ribosomal RNA
Rfam family: Bacterial small subunit ribosomal RNA
Source: RNAcentral
CGGGACGGGUGAGUAACGCGUGGGUAACCUGCCUCAUACAGGGGGACAACAGUUAGAAAUGACUGCUAAUACCGCAUAAGCGCACAGGGUCGCAUGACCUGGUGUGAAAAACUCCGGUGGUACGAGAUGGACCCGCGUCUGAUUAGCUAGUUGGUGAGGUAACGGCCCACCAAGGCGACGAUCAGUAGCCGACCUGAGAGGGUGAUCGGCCACAUUGGGACUGAGACACGGCCCAA